This 253-nucleotide ribosomal RNA is filed under the name uncultured bacterium. RNAcentral's name for it is "partial 16S ribosomal RNA". It matches the Rfam family "Bacterial small subunit ribosomal RNA", at positions 524 to 776 of the family's 1533-position model. The record is from RNAcentral.
UACGGGGGGGGCAAGCGUUGUUCGGAAUUACUGGGCGUAAAGGGCUCGUAGGCGGCCAACUAAGUCAAACGUGAAAUCCCCAGGCUCAACCUGGGAACUGCGUCUGAUACUGGAUGGCUUGAAUCCGGGAGAGGGAUGCAGAAUUCCAGGUGUAGCGGUGAAAUGCGUAGAUAUCUGGAGGAACACCGGUGGCGAAGGCGGCAUCCUGGACCGACAUUGACGCUGAGGCGCGAAAGCCAGGGGAGCAAACGGG